AUCGGCUUUGCAGGGUGGUGGUGCUGGCGGUGGCUUUCUGUGCCGCGCCGGCCUGGGCGGCGUUCGACCUGCCCGAACUGAUG
This 83-nucleotide transfer RNA is filed under the name Variovorax boronicumulans. RNAcentral describes it as "tRNA-Arg". The record is from RNAcentral. Lineage: Bacteria; Pseudomonadati; Pseudomonadota; Betaproteobacteria; Burkholderiales; Comamonadaceae. RNAcentral also lists the same sequence under 3 other names.